GACGAACGCUGGCGGCGUGCCUAAUACAUGCAAGUAGAACGCUGAAGAGAGGAGCUUGCUCUUCUUGGAUGAGUUGCGAACGGGUGAGUAACGCGUAGGUAACCUGCCUUGUAGCGGGGGAUAACUAUUGGAAACGAUAGCUAAUACCGCAUAACAAUGGAUGACCCAUGUCAUUUAUUUGAAAGGGGCAAAUGCUCCACUACAAGAUGGACCUGCGUUGUAUUAGCUAGUAGGUGAGGUAACGGCUCACCUAGGCGACGAUACAUAGCCGACCUGAGAGGGUGAUCGGCCACACUGGGACUGAGACACGGCCCAGACUCCUACGGGAGGCAGCAGUAGGGAAUCUUCGGCAAUGGGGGCAACCCUGACCGAGCAACGCCGCGUGAGUGAAGAAGGUUUUCGGAUCGUAAAGCUCUGUUGUAAGUCAAGAACGAGGGUGAGAGUGGAAAGUUCACACUGUGACGGUAGCUUAACAGAAAGGGACGGCUAACUACGUG
RNAcentral lists this ribosomal RNA (497 nucleotides) under uncultured bacterium. RNAcentral's name for it is "partial 16S ribosomal RNA". It matches the Rfam family "Bacterial small subunit ribosomal RNA", at positions 28 to 507 of the family's 1533-position model. The record is from RNAcentral.